RNAcentral lists this transfer RNA (75 nucleotides) under Nitrospinota bacterium. Its description in RNAcentral is "tRNA-Ile". It matches the Rfam family "tRNA". Rfam says of the family: Transfer RNA (tRNA) molecules are approximately 80 nucleotides in length. Their secondary structure includes four short double-helical elements and three loops (D, anti-codon, and T loops). Further hydrogen bonds mediate the characteristic L-shaped molecular structure. tRNAs have two regions of fundamental functional importance: the anti-codon, which is responsible for specific mRNA codon recognition, and the 3' end, to which the tRNAs corresponding amino acid is attached (by aminoacyl-tRNA synthetases). tRNAs cope with the degeneracy of the genetic code in two manners: having more than one tRNA (with a specific anti-codon) for a particular amino acid; and 'wobble' base-pairing, i.e. permitting non-standard base-pairing at the 3rd anti-codon position. The record is from RNAcentral. Lineage: Bacteria; Pseudomonadati; Nitrospinota.
GGGCCCAUAGCUCAAUGGUGGAGCGUCCGGCUCAUAACCGGUUGGUUCUUGGUUCGAAUCCAAGUGGGCCCACCA